ACUCAAAUGAAUAGACGGGGACCCGCACAAGCGGUGGAGCAUGUUGUUCAAUUCGAAGCAACGCGAAAAACCUUACCUACCCUUGACAUACCCCUUGGGGCCUGAAGAGAUUCGGGCUUUCGGUUCGGCCGGGGGGGAUACAGGUGCUGCAUGGCUGUCGUCAGCUCGUGUCGUGAGAUGUUGGGUUAAGUCCCGCAACGAGCGCAACCCUCAUUGUCUGUUGCCAUCAGGUUAAGCUGGGCACUCUGACAAGACUGCCGGUGACAAGCCGGAGGAAGGCGGGGAUGACGUCAAGUCAUCAUGGCCCUUACGGGUAGGGCCACAAACGUGCUACAAUGGCAGUGACAAUGGGCAGCGAGGCCGCAAGGCCAAGCGAAUCCCAAAAAGCUGUCUCAGUUCAGAUUGUCCUCUGCAACUCGAGGGCAUGAAGCUGGAAUCGCUAGUAAUCGUGGAUCAGCACGCCACGGUGAAUACGUUCCCGGGUCUUGUACACACCGCCCGU
This 502-nucleotide ribosomal RNA is filed under the name uncultured bacterium. Its description in RNAcentral is "partial 16S ribosomal RNA". It matches the Rfam family "Bacterial small subunit ribosomal RNA", at positions 899 to 1397 of the family's 1533-position model. The record is from RNAcentral.